UUCAAGCUUACCACUGUCUACGGGCCAACUAGAAGCAUUCACAAAGAUGCUUUUUUCCUUGAGCUGUCAUCUCAGAAACCAUUGCCAGGAACAAAGUGGCUGGUUAACGGCGACUUCAACCAAAUAUACCGGGCUCGAGAUAAAAACCGCACAAAUGUGGACCGCAGCCGCCUAGUUAGGUUUCGCAACACCUUAAACUCUUGCGAGCUCAAGGAGAUCCAUCUACAGAAUCGAAGAUUCACAUGGAGCAAUGAAAGAAACAACCCAACGCUUUGUAAACUGGACAGCUUUUUUUGCAAUGAGGACUGGGACAUCGAAUUUGCCAAUCACAUUCUUCAUGCCCUCUCCUCCUCACUUUUGGACCACUGCCCGCUUUUACUCGCUAAUGAGGAUGGGCCCAAGCGACCGAAGUCCUUCCGGUUCGAGAACCAUUGGACCAAGAUGCCGGGUUUCCAAAAGACGGUCAAGGAUGCUUGGGAUGAAGAAUCAACGUAUACCGAGCCAUACCAGAGGCUGUUUCAUAAGCUCAAAACUACUAGCCAAAGAUUACGCUCCUGGAGCAAGUCCCUUUUCGCCAAAGCUAAGAUCCAAUUACAUAUGGCGCUUGAAGUUAUUCUGCAUCUUGACCUGGCUAUGGAUCAAAGAGAGCUUUCCCAACAGGAAUAUGAUCUUCGAAAAAGACUAAAGAGAAAGAUCAUCGCGUGGGCUGUGCUUGAGAAAUCUAGGAAGAGGCAAAACUCCAGAAUCACCAAUCUGAAGGAGGGUGAUGCUAACACCCGUUACUUCCAUCUCCGGGUGAACCAUCGGAGGAGAAAAAACUUCAUUCAAGCACAAUUCUGGCUGGAUCACGGAACACAACCAGAAGGAGCAAGUGAUUCAUAG
This 882-nucleotide ribosomal RNA is filed under the name Triticum aestivum (bread wheat). RNAcentral's name for it is "partial small subunit ribosomal RNA". Lineage: Eukaryota; Viridiplantae; Streptophyta; Magnoliopsida; Poales; Poaceae. The record is from RNAcentral.